UUAACUUCAGAGAUAGCAGUGAUAUAUUAGCCAGUCAAGGCUCUUGAACGUCCCACGAGCUACGUACCAAAGUAUAAAUUCGUACCAAACCAGAUAGAUAAAUACAUAAAUCCCUAUUACAAACUUACAAGCCAAGUAAUCGAAUUAGGGUUUACACAUUUUCCAGCUUCAAGUGGCAAUCCAAAAAAAAAAAAAAAAGGAAAAUACAUUAUCCCAAAUAACACAUUACAGCCCACAGAAUAAGUUAUAGUGUUCAAAUACAAUCCCAAAAGGAAAACAUAAGUAAGCAUCCAGCUUUCAGUUUCCAGAACCUGUUAAGGAAAACAAUAAACGUGGGGUGAGCUAAAGCUCAGUGGUGCCCCAAAACAUGCAAUCACGUAAUAACAAACAGCGGAUAAUAACUUAGCAAAUUUAAACAGUUAGGAAAGCGUAUAACAGCACAAGGUAGGAUACAUGAGCUCUCAGGAGCCAUUUUCCUCGCUUGAUCACCAUUUAUCGUAGUUGACCCUCCGUCAACUCUCACUACUUAUAAUCCAUGUAGAGCGUCUCAUUUUAAUACCUAACCCGUCACCAUUCAUACCCCUGUCCCGGGCCCGCACACCGACUAAGGACGCAGUAUACUCGAGAUAUACCCGUAGAUGAUUGGUCGAGGGAUUCACCCAACGACGUAACUACAUUUAGAUUUAUGGUAGUUAGAUUCACGCGUCGAGGGAUUCACCCAACGACGUAACUACAUUUAGAUUUAUGGUAGUUAGAUUCACGCGUCGAGGAAUUCACCCAACGACGUAACUACAUAUAGAUUCAUGGAUUCACGAGAAAAAUGAUUCACGCAAGUCACCACUCGAACGGCUAGUGCGAUAAAGUACACACUGCUCACUUCGAUGGAUCCAAAAACUAGUUUUGCAAAUUAUCACAUAUUGAGUCAAGAAAGCACUUUAACCAGGUAAGCAUAGAACAGGCAGGGACACUCACCAAGAGUGGAGUUCAGAUAUCAAGUUGGGAAUCGAAUUCCGUGUCCUCGCAGUAUCCUAAAAACCAAAUUUUGAAACUAUAAGUUUUUACUCAGUUUUUAAGCUUAUAGACAUUGAGGUAUAUCUAAUAUACUACUAGUUCACUUUCCCUUAGAAAAAUCAAGAGUCCCUUAGGUUAAAACUUGACAAAAGUAGAAGAAAUGUUUCCUAUAGUUUUCUUUAAGAUACUUUUCCUUAUAAAGGGUAACUAGUAUUAUUUUCUUGAAAUAAGUCGACCAACCUCUUAAUGUCUACGUUAGGAAGUUACUUAGAACAUUUCUUUAAAGCUAUGGUUCUUGCAAAAUUGUUACUAAAACUAUUUUUCCUAGAAUAAGGUUUCUUGCCGAGUAAGUUUCCCAUGCUUUUCACUAAAAUUAAUAAAACUCAUAUUUUGGAACUUUUCAUAUAGUUAACUAGCCAAGAGCAAUACUUAAUGAAAGAAAAGGAAUUAAAAUAAGACUUAGGGUUUUCAAAAGCUAUAGAAUUUAUUUACUAUAGCUAUCAAGGCUAGUUUGAGCUAAAGGAAAUUAUCGGGUUGGAAAGUUUUAGGCAAAACACUAGAUAUUGAGUUUUAUAAUUUAAUACUAACUGGAAAAUAUUUUUGAUUAAUUUGAUCAUAGUUACUCGAGUCCGCAAGGUAAAAACGACUUCCACAGCUCUGAUUCCAUUUCGAAAUCAUAUUAUGGAUCAAAUAUGGCAAAAUCACAUAGCAAAUCACUAGGGUUUCGUCAAUCAUUAGCCCUAGAUUUCAACAAAUGCAUUUCUGGUAAAAAUAAAAUGAAUGACCAAGGCUUCAUCAAUCAUUAGCACUUGGUUUCAGCAAGCUCAUCUUAAACAAAUAAAAAUAAAGGUAAGGCCUCCAAGAAAUUCCAGCAAUUAAAUUUCAUCACCCAGUAAUGCUUAUAAAAUUAUUCAAAUGGCCAAGGGCUUCAUCAAUCAUUAGCACUUGACAACACCAAUUACUUCCAACCACAAUUCAAUCAAGAAUUUAAACCACAAGUAAGCUAAAAGUUCGAUCCAAACCCAAUUUCAGUUUCAUGAAGAAACAGGACAUUCUUACAAAACAGUCUACUUUGAGGAUUCACAGAUAGCAGUACACAUGGAGGAAAAAUACGAAAUUUCUACAGGACAAAUGCCUAUGAUUCUAGUUUCAAAUGCCACUGACGGCGCCUUAAACGAAUUUUCCUACACCAAGAUAUAAACAUUUUAUUGAGACCAGUCAGUGAAAUCCGAAAAUCUGAAAACUAGUUUUUCACUUGUGAAAGACUCCUUUUUCUCUUUUAAAACCAUAAGACCUUUAUUCAAACCAUCCAUACAUUUACGUAUGACAUUCAUACUAGCAUAUACCAAGGCAAAUAAAUCUUAAUUCCGGUAAACGAUCCAGCCAAGAAACCACAAUAAAUCCGUCCUCAACUAGUUAAAUUUUCCAGCAGCUCGUUUAUCUUGGAUCAAAUUUUUCCUCAGCUAAAACAGUGUUUUAAGUUCUUAAAUUCAAUAUGCCAUCACUUAACUAAUUAAUUAACAUAUCUAACUCAGGAAUUAAAUUCGAUUAACGACAAAAUUCCUCCAAAAUUUCCAGAAAUUUCCUGCUUCAAACCUCGGUUGUUGUGGCAUGAAGACUGAUUGCAUUGUGAUUUUAUUUCGGUUCUAACCCAGCUAAUUAGCCACAUGCAAAGCUCAAUUAUCUUGUUAUUAGCUAGUUAGUUAAGGUUAUAGGCUCAAAGCAACAAGUUUAAACCAAAUGUAGCUACAUUAUUCAAGGCAAACUCUCGGCAGAAACUUUUCAUCAACACAGAAUUUUCCUAAGCUCCUUAAUACAUCAUCCAACUACAUAAAAUUAUCAUGCAAGGCCCUAAUCGUAUUAAUCAUCCAAGAUUUAAUUAGUUAAUCACCAUUGCAUGCUCAAAUUACUUCAGGGAAACAACAUUAAAGCUGCCUUUCCAAACCAGUUUCUCGGCUAAAGCAUUUUCUUCUCAAACAGAAUUUUCCUCUUAUGCUUUAACAUUAUCAUCCGAAUGCACAAAUCAACAUGCAUGGUCUUAAACAUCAAGUUUUCACACGGCUAAUUGCCCUUGGUGCUCGGAUUGCUAAGGGUGAAAAAAUAUUGGAGAUGCAUUUCUGAUUCCAGCUCACGGCCAGAAUUUGUCCCUUCGCACAGCAGUUUUUUUUUUCUUUUUUUUUUCCCAGUUCAUCAUCCAAUCGGUUAGCUUUACAUGCAUGCUCCUAAUAAACUCAAUCAACCUCUAAUUAGUUUAAUCUAGCUCAGAGGUUACCUCAGACUGUAGCUCACUCACCAGAAAUCUGAAAAUUUUCCUGUUCACCCUCUCGGCUCUCGGCUCGCACAAGUUUUGGUUGUGGUAGUUGCGGCUGGAAACUGGUUGCAGCUGACCGAGAUGGAGGUGCAGAAUGAUGAAGCUCACUCACGGUUUUCUCCCUGGUUUCACUCCAGCUCACGGACAGAACUAGAGAAUUUGGCAGCCGCGGUUUCCUCCUCUUCGAUACACACGAGGUGAGUCUCUCCCUCUCUUUUGCUCUCAGUCCGAAAACUGGAUGGAGUUAUGGAGUGUGUUGUGGUCUGAGGGGAAUUUGUGCAGAGAAAUGGAAUGGCGGUUUGAGAUAUGAAAUGGAAAGAGAGGUAUAUGGUUUGCGGUAAGUGAUAUGAGAAAGGAUUGAGUGAUAUUAAGAAGUAUUGUGGUGCCGUGGUUUA
Molecule: long non-coding RNA, 3717 nt
Filed under: Coffea arabica (coffee)
Lineage: Eukaryota; Viridiplantae; Streptophyta; Magnoliopsida; Gentianales; Rubiaceae
Description: long non-coding RNA (CARA_LNC002936)
Source: RNAcentral